Molecule: transfer RNA, 71 nt
Organism: Camelus ferus (Wild Bactrian camel)
Lineage: Eukaryota; Metazoa; Chordata; Mammalia; Artiodactyla; Camelidae
Rfam family: tRNA
About the family: Transfer RNA (tRNA) molecules are approximately 80 nucleotides in length. Their secondary structure includes four short double-helical elements and three loops (D, anti-codon, and T loops).
Source: Rfam
GAGGGUGUAGCUCAGUGGUAGAGCGCCUGCCUAGCAUGCACAAGGUCCUGGUUCAAUCCCCAGUACCUCCA